AUUUGUGAUGAUAACAUGCCAAACGGCCUUAAACAGAAUCCAAAUAACAGGCCCAAACCUUUCGGAUCUUUUGAACAGUUUUUUCGCAAAUUUUGACGCCGAAACUAACAUUAGGGUUUACAGCACAAGUAUAUAUACAUAUAAAGCUGUGACCACACGAUCCCAACCAUCUAUGUCUGAUGGCACUGGCACGUUUUGUUGAAUUUGUGAGGUCAGUUGCAAUAUCAUGAUCGUUUUCUUAUCGAAACAGAAAAGGUCUAAUUUGUAAAGCUAGGUUGAUGGAUGAAGCCAAGAGGGUUUAUGAGGAGCUAUCAACUUUUGGUAUAGCUCUGAUCUUGUAUGUCAUCGUACCCUGCUGAAAUGUGGAAAGAAUGAAUGAACUAUUUUGAAAGCAUAAGUGAGUCAACAAAAGGCGAAAGCUUCAUCAUGAGUAAAGCUGUGCAUUCUUACAAAUCUGCCGAAAAGCAAUGUAAAGCCAAAGCUAAGGAAUUUUAAUGAACAAUGGAAUCCCAUUCUUUAAGAAACUUGAGGUUGUAUUAGGAGAGUGAAAACUCCAUGAGAUACUUGUGUAUGUGAGAAGAAUUAUGACAGUGGAACAAACUAAUCAACUUGGCAAUGGUCAUGGUGGAUGUUGCAUGUAUGCUGUGGGUGACAUGAUGAUUGGGCUCGUGGCUCAGAAGCACAUUUGUGAGGGGGACGUGAUUCACGUUUUACUUUUUGGAAAUAGUCAUAAUAUGGAGAAUUAUGUUA
This is a long non-coding RNA of Vigna radiata var. radiata (mung bean), 750 nucleotides long. RefSeq lists it as uncharacterized. Lineage: Eukaryota; Viridiplantae; Streptophyta; Magnoliopsida; Fabales; Fabaceae. The record is from RefSeq and is a predicted model, not a curated record. The transcript has 2 exons.